GUGGAAGAUUUUUACCUGACAAAGGUUAAACUAGGGUGGUUGUGUUUAAUGAUAUUUUUCCAUGGAUGGCAGCUUGCAAAUUGCGUCACUUUCUGAUUCUCCUGAAACAUUCAUUGCAUUUAAAACUAAGUAAAAGUGUCAAAUAUCAAUAUAAUGAGCUAAAUGUAUUGAAAAUGAGAUUCAGGAUUCAACUGCUUUCCCCAGGAUCCAGGAGGGAUAUUUAAAAUCAAUUUAUAUAUUUUUUGUAAAGUUUGUUUUCAUUUGGUUCACUUUUUGUAAUUUCCUGCAAAAUUUCUAAGUUUUAGGUAAAAUAUUUGUUUCCAGCUACAUUUUUUGCAUCAACACCAAAUUGUCUGCAAAAUACAUUUUAAGCACGUGCUCAUGCAUUUUUCAAAUUGCAGCUAUUGAUCUAGUUGAUGAAGC
RNAcentral lists this unclassified non-coding RNA (423 nucleotides) under Hevea brasiliensis (rubber tree). The record is from RNAcentral. Lineage: Eukaryota; Viridiplantae; Streptophyta; Magnoliopsida; Malpighiales; Euphorbiaceae.